Molecule: non-coding RNA, 228 nt
Filed under: Marinomonas spartinae
Lineage: Bacteria; Pseudomonadati; Pseudomonadota; Gammaproteobacteria; Oceanospirillales; Oceanospirillaceae
Source: RNAcentral
AAUACCAGUUCUUGUGAAGGUGCCCUCACGGGUGAAACGGGAAACAGGUGCGCUCUUUGUUAAGCAACCCCUGUACUGCCCCCGCAACGGUAAAUAAGUGAUGUAUUUUUCUCGCUUCCACUGUCCAUUGAUAGAAAUAUCUUUGAAUGGGAAGGGACGAGAGUUUUAGAAAUGCAGAUCUGCCAAACACUUAUCAGUCCGGAGACCGGCCUUCAUUGAUUAGGACUU